This 384-nucleotide long non-coding RNA is filed under the name Homo sapiens (human). Its description in RNAcentral is "HSALNT0148127". The record is from RNAcentral. Lineage: Eukaryota; Metazoa; Chordata; Mammalia; Primates; Hominidae.
AGUUUCCGUUUAGGUAAAAUGGAUAGAAUAAUAGUACUUACCUCAAAGGAUUGUUGAAGAGAAUCAACAAGAUGAUAUCCCUGAAGCACUGGGAAUAGUGUCUGGCACACAGCACUCUCCCAGGAGCACACCGCGGCGCUAGAGAAGACCAGGAAAAAGGACCUGAGCCAGCUUGCCGUCUUAACAAAAAUUUCAAACUUUGCAAAGCGGUAUACCUUCUUAUUCUCCAGUUCAGUAUUGCCAGUGAAGUCAUACUGAACGCAGACAAGGAAAAGAAAGAAAAAGGUAGAAACUCAAUGAGAUAUGUUGUCAUCUUCCCUGUUUUAUGGAUGAAGUUCUAAGUAGAGGUUCGGAGAAGACCCAACUGUUCCCAUGUCAGACCCC